This is a non-coding RNA of Musa acuminata subsp. malaccensis (wild Malaysian banana), 390 nucleotides long. NCBI's taxonomy places the organism in Eukaryota, Viridiplantae, Streptophyta, Magnoliopsida, Zingiberales, Musaceae. The record is from RefSeq and is a predicted model, not a curated record.
GUCCAUAUAUAUACGAAUGGUCAUUUCUUCUUUUGAAACCGAGAUAGACAGACGCCAGCAUGGUGGAACUCAUCAGCCCGAAAGAUGAGUGUGGAUUGAAAUGGGCUUCGAUAGGACUUAUUGGAUGUGGGUCUAUGGAUUUGGGUUGUGAUUCAGUGACGAGCCAAGCUGCAGCUGCAUUGAUCCAAGGCGGACAGGACAGGUAUAUUGUCACCAUAUAACAAGAUUGAGCUUACGGUGAUUGUGGUUUUAGCCUCCCGGUGGUCGGGAUGUCUGUUUGCUGGCGAUGCGAAGAUGCCGAUGCUGGUGCUCCUCUACGCGGUUGCAGUAGCGACAAGACUUUUGUUUAUGGUAUGACUCGAUUGAAAUGUUUUGCCUCUUCUUCUUCUU